Triticum aestivum (bread wheat) is the source of this 2641-nucleotide long non-coding RNA. RefSeq lists it as uncharacterized. The transcript is spliced from 7 exons. NCBI's taxonomy places the organism in Eukaryota, Viridiplantae, Streptophyta, Magnoliopsida, Poales, Poaceae. The record is from RefSeq and is a predicted model, not a curated record.
UCUCCUUCUCUCCUCCACUCCCCAUCGCGCCCCUAUCAUCAGCCGCCACCGCCAUCGCCGGGAGGGGCCGCCACUCGCGUCGCUCUCCGCAGCCGCCACAGCCCCCUCCCCUUCCAAACCCACCGAGAUGACGGCGUCGGCACUGGCGCUCGCGGUGGUCGGGUGGCUUGCUCGCGCUCGCGGAGGCCGAGGUGGUCGCGCUGCUCUGGGUCGUGUGCCGCCUCCGUCGCCGGUAGGAGGGGGCCGCAGAGGCCGCCGCGCAGCCCGGUGACCAGGAGCUCCCCGAUAGCCUCGCUCUCCUCCUUGGUGCCCAGCGGGAGAGGCAGCGGACGAAAGUCGAUGACGCCGACCCCCUCCUCCAUGGCAGCGCCUUCGUCCCCGACGACACCCAGCAGCAGCUCACUCCCGGCCCAAAACGAGGCAGCGUUCCCAAAUGUGAAGCGACAACCCGCAGAAAGAUGAGCAGGAGCAGACCAGGGAUGAAGCCAAGAUCUACGAUGGUGAUUCUUCCAAUAAAAUGAUGCAGGUGGCCAACAGCUUGAUGGUGCCGUCGAUAUGAGUAAAAUGCAUCGAUGGUCAUUGAACUUAUUGUAUACGCUCAUUUUGGUCACUGUACUUAAGAAUACGGUCAAUACGAUCACUAUAUACGCAUUGCGGUGAUUAUACGGUCACUGUCACACCGUAUAGCUUCGUAUUUUAUAUAGUUGACCGGUCAAACAGUUCAAUGGCGCUGUAUCAGCUCCACCUGUCAGUGGCUAGAAGAAAUAAAGGGUACGAUUGGAAAGUAAAAGAGUGCACCGCUGCUGUGGAAUCGAACCCGAACGACGUGCUGGUAGUGCAGCACGCUAGCCAGCCGAGCCAACUUCAGUUCGCGUUUAAUUUAUUUGCAUUCACGUGACAACCAUAACAGGGCGGCCGUUGCUUGUGCUGCGUACUUGUGUGGGUACGUGCAUGUUUGUGUGUUGUGUGGUGUUGUGCGUGACUGUGAUAUGCGUGAACAAGAUGCUUGCCAUGUGUGUGCGCCCGCUUGUGAUGUACGUACGUCUGAGUGAGCACGGACAAGGCGAAGGCGUUGAGAAAGAAGAAGUCAGAGGCAGCGAGGAGCUGCACGAGCGCGCCAAGAGGACAGCCUGUGCGCGAGUCAACGGCGAGCACAGACAUGUGGCGCCGGAUGGUGGCCGGGCCUGGACAGAGGUGAUGGUGGUCGCAGGCAUGAAGAAAAAGACGAUGGGGGAGAAGAGGAGAGUGACCAGUACUGUGUACGCCACGUCCGCGUCGCAUCGCUAGCUUGUCGUGAUGCCUGGUGUGUGAUCAAGUAGUGCAGUGCGUGCGUGCUGAGUGUGUGCACUAUAUGCAUUCUCGCUAACGUAUAUAAAAAAAUCGCUCAGCAAGUUAACCAAAAUUGUUAUGCGCUCCAUUGGCUAGCCCACUGUUGCUACCACAUUAAUGUUCUGUGUUAGAAAUCCUCAUAGACGCACAUUUUAUUUUGCCUCUUGUUUUCUUUCUUUCACCGACUGACAGAUGGGACCCGCAUAAGUAGAGAGAGAAAGUGGGCUAACAGGGCAUCAUUGGGACUGUUUGACCGGUCAACUAAAUAAAAUACAAAGCUAUACGGUGCGACAGUGACCGUAUAAUCAUCGCAAUGUGUAUAUAGUGAUCGUAUUGACUGUAUUCUUAAGUACAGUGACCAAAGUGAGCGUAUACGACAAGUUCAAUGACCACCCAUGCAUUUUACUCCGUCGAUAUUGUCUCCUCCAGCGUCAAGGAACCAGCCAAAAACGUCAUCGUCAAGCAAGCGACGCUGAGCAAAUGUCAGGUGCCAUCACGCACCAUGGUGUGGCGAUCAGAUUGGCAACGUGUUCAAUGCAGCGUACAAUGCCAAUGAUCAGUUCAUUUUUGUGGAUUGUUGUGGGGGAUUGAGGCUUUAAAGCACAUGAAUUGCAGCAGGAAUUGUUCAGGAUACUACUGUUGUUGCUACUUGGCGCGUUACCAUCACCGGGAGGAGCGACGGCCAUCCACAUCGCCAUUGCCAUCGUCCUUCAGGUACUAAUGUUGGUGUGAGCUCAAGGAAAAAGGCAAAACCCAUUUGUAGUUUCAGCUUUACGAGGCGUUGUCAGCAAUGAUUGAUGAGAUAAUUGGUUGAGCUACUUUUGGAAGGGGCGACGGAAAUCAUAAAAACUACGAUGGCUAUGGAGAUUCAACAUACAGAAAGAUGGAAGAGAACACACAGUAAAUAAAACAGAACACAAAGCAGUAGCCUUUGGAGCAGGUUACAGUUUGCACUUGGUAUUAAAGGAUUUGGAGCAGGCUAUAUCUGUGAUGACACAGAUUGGUUAUGCAGGAUCUCUUGGCUAAAUCCUUCUGCUUUAUCAUGAAGACAACAAAUAGUGGUUACUUCUCAUCUGAGCUUGAGCUGUGGUGAAUGCGACCGAUGUUUCUACGAAGAUGUAGUUCUUUUGGUUUAUCGACUAAUAUUAUCGUAUAUAGACGUGAUGCCUGAGGCGUUUUGAAUCAGUGUCGUAGCAGACUACCCUAUCCUUAUUGUAAAUUAUGUGUGAUCACCGACAGUCCUUCGGGUCGAUUUACCACUCCAUGGUUAUUGUAAAUUAUGAACGAAUUAUGCUGUAGUUUUAGUAUUGAU